AGUUCGGAUCGCAGGCUGCAACCCGCCUGCGUGAAGUUGGAAUCGCUAGUAAUCGCGGAUCAGCAUGCCGCGGUGAAUACGUUCCCGGGCCUUGUACACACCGCCCGUCACACCAUGAGAGUCGGGAACACCCGAAGUCCGUAGCCUGACCGCAAGGGGGCGCGGCCGAAGGUGGGUUCGAUAAUUGAGGUGAAGUCGUAACAAGGUAGC
RNAcentral lists this ribosomal RNA (210 nucleotides) under uncultured bacterium. RNAcentral's name for it is "partial 16S ribosomal RNA". It matches the Rfam family "Bacterial small subunit ribosomal RNA", at positions 1290 to 1500 of the family's 1533-position model. The record is from RNAcentral.